RNAcentral lists this ribosomal RNA (373 nucleotides) under uncultured organism. RNAcentral describes it as "partial 16S ribosomal RNA". It matches the Rfam family "Bacterial small subunit ribosomal RNA", at positions 527 to 896 of the family's 1533-position model. The record is from RNAcentral.
GUAGGUGGCAAGCGUUGUCCGGAAUUAUUGGGCGUAAAGCGCGCGCAGGCGGUUCUUUAAGUCUGAUGUGAAAGCCCACGGCUCAACCGUGGAGGGUCAUUGGAAACUGGAGAACUUGAGUACAGAAGAGGAAAGCGGAAUUCCACGUGUAGCGGUGAAAUGCGUAGAGAUGUGGAGGAACACCAGUGGCGAAGGCGGCUUUCUGGUCUGUAACUGACGCUGAGGCGCGAAAGCGUGGGGGAGCAAACAGGAUUAGAUACCCUGGUAGUCCACGCCGUAAACCGAUGAGUGCUAAGUGUUAGGGGGUUUUCCGCCCCUUAGUGCUGCAGCUAACGCAUUAAGCACUCCGCCUGGGAGUACGGCCGCAAGGCUG